Molecule: long non-coding RNA, 624 nt
Filed under: Gallus gallus (chicken)
Lineage: Eukaryota; Metazoa; Chordata; Aves; Galliformes; Phasianidae
Description: long non-coding RNA NONGGAT004266
Source: RNAcentral
GGAGUGUGUUACUAGUGACAAUGGACUCUUUGUGGCUUACGGUUUAAUGAAGAAUAUUUUUAAAAGAAGACUUUGUGCUCUCAGGGUAAUUUAUGUUGGAACAAGAGAGUCUAUAAACUGCAGGUGUCUCAUUAAAUUCUGCUGGUGAUUAGAAGAAGCAGCCAUGUGCAGAGAUGUUCAUCAGGGGCUCCAUGAUUUGUGUUGUCAUGCCUGUUUUUUUUUCUUGAUAGCUACACACUACUUAGCGUUGUUGCUCAGCUGCUAUGAGCAGAACUCUGCAAAAAUAGCAGGUUUCCAUUCAGAAGUGAAUGGCAUUGGGCCAACUAUUGAUUUACGGACUGACAUAUACCCCUGUAUAAUGACUGCAAGAACGCUUGGAGAGACCUGCAAAGUGUGGCUUUAUACAAUGACACUGUAGAGAAGGAGGCUGAGAAAGUUUGUCUGUAUUCCCAGUUCUGAUUAAAUAGCUUGGCCCGAAGGCAAGAUGGAUACGUGCCCAUUUCUUCCCACCCCUGAUCUGAGAUUGAAAACAGCAACCUGGUAUAAUGCUUAAAUAUAUAUGUAUAUGACUUUUAAAAUAAUUAUUUGGGAGAUGAAGUUAUAACAUUCAAACUUCUAACACUA